ACGGAAGGCAGCAGUGAGGAAUAUUGGUCAAUGGACGGAAGUCUGAACCAGCCAUGCCGCGUGAAGGAUUAAGGCCCUAUGGGUCGUAAACUUCUUUUGUACGGGAGCAAUAAGGACCACGUGUGGUUUGAUGAGAGUACCGUACGAAUAAGCAUCGGCUAACUCCGUGCCAGCAGCCGCGGUAAUACGGAGGAUCCGAGCGUUAUCCGGAUUUAUUGGGUUUAAAGGGUGCGCAGGCGGGCUGCUAAGUCUCCGGUGAAAUGUCAGGGCUCAACCUUGGCACUGCCGGAGAUACUGGCGGCCUUGAGAGUGGCGGAGGUAUCCGGAAUGUGUGGUGUAGCGGUGAAAUGCAUAGAUAUCACACAGAACACCGAUUGCGAAGGCAGGAUACCAUACCAUAUCUGACGCUCAGGCACGAAAGCGUGGGGAUCGAACAGGAUUAGAUACCCUGGUA
RNAcentral lists this ribosomal RNA (454 nucleotides) under uncultured Alistipes sp. RNAcentral describes it as "partial 16S ribosomal RNA". It matches the Rfam family "Bacterial small subunit ribosomal RNA", at positions 341 to 792 of the family's 1533-position model. The record is from RNAcentral. Lineage: Bacteria; Pseudomonadati; Bacteroidota; Bacteroidia; Bacteroidales; Rikenellaceae.